Molecule: long non-coding RNA, 1289 nt
Organism: Octopus bimaculoides (California two-spot octopus)
Lineage: Eukaryota; Metazoa; Mollusca; Cephalopoda; Octopoda; Octopodidae
Source: RefSeq, a predicted model, not a curated record
GUUCCAACCAAACUUUGCCAUUACAGGUAUCGGAUUACAAACUCUGACAGAAUUCGACGAGCAAGGUCAGACAGAAUUUGUUGAAGUAGAUUUCCAAUGACUGGAUGUUGUUCCUGGUGAAAAUCCUUACCUAUUUCAAGGCUUCCAUUGGCUGGAGAAAUCACAAAAGACCCUUUUCAAGGUGCCACACAGUGAGACAGAAAUGAAGACAACAUGAUUGGGAAGCAUGCUGCUGAACCAAACAGCCUCACCUGCUACUAUAUAUAGUAUAUAUACAUACAUGCAUACACACCACACAUACACACAUAUGCACACUAUGUAACUAUAUACAUAUAUGUGUGCAUAAACAUUCAUUCCAACAUUUUAAGUAAAGAAAACUAGCAUGUCUUGAUUCACAAAUUUGAGAAAUAGAUAAAUAAAAACGAAAAAUAAAUAAGAUAUAUCAAUAAACAAAUUGUUCAAAAUUUAAUCAAUAUUUAUUCAAUAUUUAAGCCUGUCAUUUAAGUGCUGUCAUUUAAAUUCUGUAGGGUUUCUUACAAUCAUUCUCUACUCUGUCUAAUGACAGAUACAAAAAGAAGGGGGAAAAAAAUCAGAAUUAUUUGUUUAAAUUUCCAAAUCUAACUUUUAGAGAGAGAAAACGGGAGAAUUAAACAAGUAAAUCGAUUUAUUUAUAAGUGAACUAUAAUAUAAGGAAAGAAAAAUCUAUCACUAAGUCACAAAGAGCAAAGUCAGACUGACCAAGCUAAUGAGCUUUAUGGCCUCUUCAUGGCAGAGGUUCAUUCUCUGAUAGUAGGAUUAAUGUUCUUAAGUAGCAAACAGCAAGCAGCACAUUGAAUUUGUUUUUCUUUCAACAAUAUGAUAUGCAAUGGAUUAUACUGCAUAUAUGUGUAUACUUACACACACACAUACACAAACAAACAAAUGCACACACACAUUGGGUUGCCAGAUGAAUUUGUUCAAUUUUGUCUAUUUAUUUUUACCCUUUGUUAUUUGAAUUAACAUGAAAAAUAUUAUAUCAUAGUGUUCUAUGUUUUUUUUUUGUAGUUCUAUUCUUCCUUUACAACUUUUGUUUACCAUCAUCAUCAUCAUCAUUUAACGUCCCUUUUACCAUAUGCCAAAGUCAAACGUUAUUUUUGAAAUACGAAUAAAUUUUAUCUUUUCACAGACUAAUAACAAUGAAGUGCUAAGUAGAGAAAGAAAUGAAUGAAUUUAUCUGACUACCUAAUAAUGUAUAUAUAUAUAUAUAUGUAGCAAGAUAACAGGAUAUACUGACCAUGUUGACUGAGAUA